GGGACAGUGGCUGCAAAUGAGCUAUUACGUAGCUAUUUGAACAUAAAUUCAACUGAAUCUUCACUCUGACCAAUACUUUAGGCCACAAUGAACUGAACUUUGAAUGAUGAAUGCUCAUUGUGAAUUUAUAACCCCUUACUUUCCUCUAUGUGGUUACAUGCAUCUCUUUCUCUCUCACUUUUGGUCUUCCACUCAUCACUCAACACUCAUCUUUUCCUGUCCCCGGCUGAGGUGUCUGUGGGUCUAGGUGACGAAGAAAAUGAUCAUAGAGCAUUGUGGGCUGAAAGACCUCCCUCAACAUAGACCCUUCAGCCCAGCAGAAUGUUUCAGAAUUAGAAGUGAGCAACAGAACAAGAUGAAGUUCACUCUAUUUGCUGCCUUUAUUUUCUCUGUAGGGUGGAUGAGUGUUGUGGAAGCAGUAGUUGAUGGACCUCCAACACACUGCUGUAAUACUGUGACAACCAUCGCAGUAGAAGCUACAAACAUUGUGGACUAUUUUAUACAACGAUCAGUGCUAUGUCCUGUCAGAGCUGUAAGAUUCCUGACCAAGAAAAAUAUAGUUAUUUGUUCAGAUCCUGAUAGCAAAUGGGCUAAGAAAGUAAUGGGGAUAGUGGAUAGGAGAAAAAAAACAACAACACCUUCCCAAAAACCUACUACGUGCUAUACAAGUACAACAAACGUGAGCCCAACUGUAACUACAACAAACAAAACACCGGGAACAGAGACUGAGACCAGCACGAGUACAACUGUAACACCAGCAGUGAUGACUAUCAAAACAUCUGGACCAGAGACGAGCACGAGUACAACUGUAACACCAGCAGGGACGACAAUCAAAACAUCUGGACCAGAGACCAGCAUGAGUAUAGCUGUAACACCAGCAGUGACGACAAUCAAAACAUCUGGACCAGAGACCAGCAUGAGUAUAGCUGUAACACCAGCAGUGACGACAAUCAAAACAUCUGGACCAGAGACCAGCACGAGUACAACUGUAAGACCAGUAGUGACGACAAUCAAAACAUCUGGACCAGAGACCAGCACGAGUAUAACUGUAAGACCAGUAGUGAUGACAAUCAAAACAUCUGGACCAGAGACCAGCAUGAGUACAACUGUAACACCAGCAGUGACGACAAUCAACACAUCUGGACCAGAGACCAGCAUGAGUGCAACUGUACCACCAAUAGUGACAACAAUAAAAACAUCUGGACCAGAAACCAGCACGAGUACAACUGUAACACCAGCAGUGACGACAAUCAAAACAUCUGGACCAGAAACCAGCACGAGUGCAACUGUACCACCAAUAGUGACAACAAUCAAAACAUCUGGACCAGAAACCAGCACGAGUACAACUGUAACACCAGUAGUGACAACAAUCAAAACAUCUGGACCAGAGACAAAGAUCAGCAAAACANNNNNNNNNNNNNNNNNNNNNNNNNNNNNNNNNNNNNNNNNNNNNNNNNNNNNNNNNNNNNNNNNNNNNNNNNNNNNNNNNNNNNNNAUAUAUAUAUAUAUAUAUAUAUAUAUAUUAUGGACAAGUAUUUAGUGAGAGACAAAUAUGAUCUGAAACUGCAGUGAUGGAAAAGAGGCCUUCAUCAUAUCGAUAACUUACCAAAGUGAGGGUGCAGUGUCACACUAUCACCACAUGGUGGGAGACUCACCUAGAGAAGCGUUUCUAGUUAACUGCAGCCCUUAGUUAACCAUGACAACGCUCAGUCAAGUCAGUUAACAGUUUUACACCAGUAGAGUUAAACUGAUUGUGAAUGUACAACAGCAUAAAGCCUUGAAAACAGUUGAAAAUCAACAGAC
Cyprinus carpio (common carp) is the source of this 1803-nucleotide long non-coding RNA. The record is from Ensembl. Lineage: Eukaryota; Metazoa; Chordata; Actinopteri; Cypriniformes; Cyprinidae.